CAGUCGAGCGAAUGGAUUAAGAGCUUGCUCUUAUGAAGUUAGCGGCGGACGGGUGAGUAACACGUGGGUAACCUACCCAUAAGACUGGGAUAACUCCGGGAAACCGGGGCUAAUACCGGAUAAUAUUUUGAACUGCAUAGUUCGAAAUUGAAAGGCGGCUUCGGCUGUCACUUAUGGAUGGACCCGCGUCGCAUUAGCUAGUUGGUGAGGUAACGGCUCACCAAGGCGACGAUGCGUAGCCGACCUGAGAGGGUGAUCGGCCACACUGGGACUGAGACACGGCCCAGACUCCUACGGGAGGCAGCAGUAGGGAAUCUUCCGCAAUGGACGAAAGUCUGACGGAGCAACGCCGCGUGAGUGAUGAAGGCUUUCGGGUCGUAAAACUCUGUUGUUAGGGAAGAACAAGUGCUAGUUGAAUAAGCUGGCACCUUGACGGUACCUAACCAGAAAGCCACGGCUAACUACGUGCCAGCAGCCGCGGUAAUACGUAGGUGGCAAGCGUUAUCCGGAAUUAUUGGGCGUAAAGCGCGCGCAGGUGGUUUCUUAAGUCUGAUGUGAAAGCCCACGGCUCAACCGUGGAGGGUCAUUGGAAACUGGGAGACUUGAGUGCAGAAGAGGAAAGUGGAAUUCCAUGUGUAGCGGUGAAAUGCGUAGAGAUAUGGAGGAACACCAG
Molecule: ribosomal RNA, 673 nt
Filed under: uncultured Bacillus sp.
Lineage: Bacteria; Bacillati; Bacillota; Bacilli; Caryophanales; Bacillaceae
Description: bacterial SSU rRNA
Rfam family: Bacterial small subunit ribosomal RNA
Source: RNAcentral